AGUCAACAUAACCAAAGGACGUGGAUAAACUCGGGAAACUGAGGCUAAACCGCGAUAGACCAAGAUACCUGGAAUGGUUUUUGAUUAAAAUCUAUAUGGCCUUUGGAUUGGACUGCGACCGAUCAGGCUGUUGGUGAGGUAAUGGCCCACCAAACCUGUAACCGGUACGGGCUCUGAGAGGAGGAGCCCGGAGAUGGGUACUGAGACAAGGACCCAGGCCCUAUGGGGCGCAGCAGGCGCGAAACCUCUGCAAUAGGCGAAAGCCUGACAGGGUUAUUCUGAGUGACUUUCGCUACGAAAGUCUUUUGACACCUCUAAAAAUGGUGUAGAAUAAGGGGUGGGCAAGUCUGGUGUCAGCCGCCGCGGUAAUACCAGCACCCCGAGUGGUCGGGACGAUUAUUGGGCCUAAAGCAUCCGUAGCCGGUUUUACAAGUCCUCCGUUAAAUCCAACUGCUUAACAGAUGGGCCGCGGAGGAUACUAUAAGACUAGGAGGCAGGAGAGGCAAGCGGUACUCAGUGGGUAGGGGUAAAAUCCGUUGAUCCAUUGAAGACCACCAGUGGCGAAGGCGGCUUGCCAGAAUGCGCUCGACGGUGAGGGAUGAAAGCUGGGGGAGCAAACCGGAUUAGAUACCCGGGUAGUCCCAGCUGUAAACGAUGCAGACUCGGUGAUGGACUAGCUUCAUGCUAGUCCAGUGCCGCAGGGAAGCCGUUAAGUCUGCCGCCUAGGUAGUACGGUCGCAAGACUGAAACUUAA
This 754-nucleotide ribosomal RNA is filed under the name uncultured archaeon. Its description in RNAcentral is "bacterial SSU rRNA". It matches the Rfam family "Archaeal small subunit ribosomal RNA", at positions 102 to 859 of the family's 1478-position model. The record is from RNAcentral.